UACAGAGGGGGCAAGCGUUGUUCGGAAUUAUUGGGCGUAAAGAGCUCGUAGGCGGUGUGUCGCGUCGGCCGUGAAAACCUGCAGCUUAACUGUGGGCUUGCGGUCGAUACGGGCAUCACUGGAGUUCGGCAGGGGAGACUGGAAUUCCUGGUGUAGCGGUGAAAUGCGCAGAUAUCAGGAGGAACACCGGUGGCGAAGGCGGGUCUCUGGGCCGAUACUGACGCUGAGGAGCGAAAGCGUGGGGAGCGAACAGG
RNAcentral lists this ribosomal RNA (254 nucleotides) under uncultured bacterium. Its description in RNAcentral is "partial 16S ribosomal RNA". It matches the Rfam family "Bacterial small subunit ribosomal RNA", at positions 524 to 776 of the family's 1533-position model. The record is from RNAcentral.